Molecule: ribosomal RNA, 425 nt
Filed under: Verrucomicrobiota bacterium
Lineage: Bacteria; Pseudomonadati; Verrucomicrobiota
Description: Verrucomicrobia bacterium partial 16S ribosomal RNA
Rfam family: Bacterial small subunit ribosomal RNA
Source: RNAcentral
UGAGGAAUAUUGGUCAAUGGGCGAGAGCCUGAACCAGCCACGUCGCGUGAAGGAAGACUGACCUUACGGUUUGUAAACUUCUUUUGUAGAGGGGUAAUGGCAGAUACGUGUAUUUGCGUGAAAGUACUCUACGAAUAAGCAUCGGCUAACUCCGUGCCAGCAGCCGCGGUAAUACGGGGGAUGCGAGCGUUAUCCGGAAUUAUUAGGUUUAAAGGGUGCGCAGGUGGCUAAUCAGGUCAGUGGUGAAAAGCUAUGGCUCAACCAUGGUCUUGCCAUUGAAACCGUAUAGCUAGAGAGGAGACGAGGUAGGCGGAAUGUGUGGUGUAGCGGUGAAAUGCAUAGAUAUCACACAGAACUCCGAUUGCGAAGGCAGCUUACCAGGCUUUAUCUGACACUUAGGCACGACAGCGUGGGGAUCAAACAGG